This is a long non-coding RNA of Athalia rosae (coleseed sawfly), 847 nucleotides long. RefSeq lists it as uncharacterized. The transcript has 4 exons. The record is from RefSeq and is a predicted model, not a curated record. NCBI's taxonomy places the organism in Eukaryota, Metazoa, Arthropoda, Insecta, Hymenoptera, Athaliidae.
CUAGUAAAAAACCACCUAGCAGUGCCAGAAAGCCGAUGAAAAAAAUGAAAGAAAAGCACAUCCGUUUUGUGACGAACUCGGUUGACUCCCCGAAGCCCCUUGCCAUUUGGAAACUCAACACGCGAUGCAUUGUGUACUCGACUAAGUGGGAAAUCAUUCCGCUAUUUUCCAAGAGUAUUUCGUACUGGCGUCACUCCCACCUUGGCGGAGCUUAUUUUACCCGCCUGUUAUAUGGAUUUAAUAGUCAUCGAGCAAUAUAACAUUGUGCUGGACCGAUGCUUUGAUCUAUCGAUUGUGAGUCCGAAUAGCUUAUACUAAUUGAUCAUAAUGUUAGAUAAACCGGUCUUUUGAAAUUUGAGAAAAAAAUGCGACCUAUUAAUUUUUGAGUAUUUCGGGAUACAAGAAAAUGAUAAUCAACAAAAAAGCUAUACUCGUAAAUGGCGCGCCUUUAUUUUAUAGCUGAAGUGCAGUUAUUGACUAUUCAAAUAAUUUUCACAUCGAUUCAUCCAUAGAACCACAGGGUUAUCCUGGACUUAAUUUCUGAAAUUCUGACAGCUCAUAAGUUUCCUAGAGUCGAAGUAAUAUGCUGCAGAAAUUGACGUACCAUCAUUCCACAGCCAAGCCAACUGCUUCGGGGUCCAAGACACUUUUUUUACUUCGAGAAACUGGCCCAUCUGGAACACAGUCCGUUUCCUAAUAUCAUCGACACCUUCCUCGCUUUGCGCCCACUCAAGAACUAAUCGGCGACCAUACAGAUGAGUGCUCUGACACAAUGCAUUGAAAGCUUUCUGUAAAUUAAGGUCAAUAUCAUUCAGCGUGUCGUUUAAUUGUGUCAUGUUCUCAAACA